CACCGCGGUGAUACGAAAGGCCCAAGCUGACAGCCCACGGCGUAAAGCGUGGUUAGGGUAAAUAAAAUUUAAAGCCGAACACCCCUCAGGCCGUUAAAAGCACACAAGGACAUGAAGCCCACCGACGAAAGUAGCUUUACACACCCUGAACCCACGAAAGCUAAGAAA
Molecule: ribosomal RNA, 168 nt
Filed under: Trichiurus brevis (Chinese short-tailed hairtail)
Lineage: Eukaryota; Metazoa; Chordata; Actinopteri; Scombriformes; Trichiuridae
Description: partial small subunit ribosomal RNA
Source: RNAcentral